UCUCACUAUAAAAGAUCUAAGUCAUCACUACAGUCCACAGUCUAUAUUAUCUUUUGUCCGAAUAUACAUCUCAACAAUCAUGAACAACAAGCUAGUGUUCUUACUCGCUCUGGUGGCUCUGCUCGCCGUCACCAACGCCAAACCUCAAGGUGGCGAAGGUAAGCUGCAUUUAGAUAGAACACUUAAGAGCACUUAACGUCGUGAAUGGAGAAAAUCAAGUUAACGUUGUGGACGGUGGCCAACAAAUUCAAGUCGUAGACGGCACAGAGCAAGGCAAGCCAGGUCUAGCUCGCGGUGGCGAAGAAAACCGGUGAAACAGUUUGUCCUCAUCAAUGUACACAUCAAGUUAAAUACUGACUUCAAGAUCGACCUUGUUUCCUGGAAAUAAAAGCUAUUUUUGUUGUUCAACUGUUACUCUUGAUGUGCCAUUAUGUUUUAGUACACUCAUCUCAUUCGUACCCAUUUGUUCAAAUCUGUGUUAUACACAGCUUAGGUUAAGAAAUAAAAACAAGAAAACAUAA
This is a long non-coding RNA of Ostrinia nubilalis (European corn borer), 521 nucleotides long. RefSeq lists it as uncharacterized. Lineage: Eukaryota; Metazoa; Arthropoda; Insecta; Lepidoptera; Crambidae. The record is from RefSeq and is a predicted model, not a curated record. The transcript is spliced from 7 exons.